AGCACUGCCAGUUCUGCUAUCUCUGCCCUCUGCUCUGCGAGACCGUCUGUGCCCCAGGAGGCUAUGUGGACCACUUCUCAUCCAACCUGUUUCAGGCUUUGGCGGAGAUGGUGGAAACCCCGGAGUCGUGAUGAACUUCAGGACAAAUAGCCCCACCCCCACUCCCGGCUCCGCCCACUUAUUUAUUUCGAAUAAACCCGAUCCUCGCAGGGACCCGCGAGGGAUUUCUGGGAUUCUGGGCUGGAAGGACCAUCUGGGUAACCCUCGCCCCAGAGGGCUAGGCUGAACCGUGAGAGGAAGGGGCGAACCCAGGGGUCCCUAGGAAAUAAAUGAGAGGAGGCGGA
Molecule: long non-coding RNA, 344 nt
Organism: Gracilinanus agilis (Agile Gracile Mouse Opossum)
Lineage: Eukaryota; Metazoa; Chordata; Mammalia; Didelphimorphia; Didelphidae
Exons: 3
Source: RefSeq, a predicted model, not a curated record